GCGGUGGAGCAUGUGGUUAAUUCGACGCAACGCGAGAACCUUACCAGGGCUUGACAUCCCCUGACCGCGUAUGAAAGACGUUUUCACCCUCGGGUGACAGGGAGACAGGUGGUGCAUGGUUGUCGUCAGCUCGUGUCGUGAGAUGUUGGGUUAAGUCCCGCAACGAGCGCAACCCCUACGUUUAGUUGCUAACGCGUGAAGGCGAGCACUCUAGACGAACUGCCGUUGACAAAACGGAGGAAGGUGGGGAUGACGUCAAAUCAUCAUGCCCCUUAUGUUCUGGGCUACACACGUGCUACAAUGGCCGGUACAGACGGACGCAAAGCCGCGAGGUGGAGCAAAUCCUAAAAAGCCGGUCUCAGUUCGGAUUGCAGGCUGCAAUUCGCCUGCAUGAAGUCGGAAUCGCUAGUAAUCGCAGGUCAGCAUACUGCGGUGAAUACGUUCCCGGGCCUU
Molecule: ribosomal RNA, 453 nt
Filed under: uncultured Pelotomaculum sp.
Lineage: Bacteria; Bacillati; Bacillota; Clostridia; Eubacteriales; Desulfotomaculaceae
Description: bacterial SSU rRNA
Rfam family: Bacterial small subunit ribosomal RNA
Source: RNAcentral